GCGGAGAGCGGACCCCAGAGAGCCCUGAAGAGCCCCACCGCCGCCGGCCUAGUUACCAUCUCACCCCGGGAGGUGCCGUAGCUGCCGCAGCCGGCCCCAGUCACCAUCACCGCAACUAUGAGCAGCGAGGCCGAGACCCAGCAGCCGCCCCCGCCCUGAGCGCCCCCGACACCAAGCCCUGCACCACGGGCAGCGGCCGGGCGGCCUCACAUCGGCGGCGCCCGCUGGCGGGGACAAGAAGGUCAUCGCAAGGAAGGUUUUGGGAACAGUAAAAUGGUUCAAUGUAAGGAACGGAUACGGCUUCAUCAACAGGAAUGACACCAAGGAAGACGUAUUUGUACACCAGGCUGCCAUAAAGAAGAAUAACCCCAGGAAGUACCUUCGCAGUGUAGGAGAUGGAGAGACUGUGGAGUCUGAUGUUGUCGAAGGAGAAAAGGGUGCGGAGGCAGCAAACGUUACAGGCCCUGGUGGAGUUCCAGUACAAGGCAGCAAAUAUGCAGCAGACUGUAACCAUUAUAGACGCCAUCCACGUCGCAGGGGUCCUCCACGCAAUUACCAGCAGGAUUAGCAGAACAGUGAGAGUGGGGGAAAGAGUGAGGGCUCGGAGAGUGCCCCCGAAGGCCAGGCCCAACAACGCCGGCCCUAGCGCAGGGUGGACCACAGUGUUCCAACCCUCCUGUGCAGGGAGAAGUGAUGGAAGGUGCUGACAACCGGGGUGCGGGAGAACAAGGUAGAGCUGUCAGACAACAUGCAUCGAGGUUAUAGACCACGAUUCCGCAGAGGUCCUCCUCGCCAAAGACAGCCUAGAGAGGACGGCCAUGAAGAGGAUGAGGAGAAUCAAGGAGACGAGACCCAGGGUCAGCAGCCACCUCAACGUCGGUAGCGCCGGAACUUCAAUUACAGACGCAGACGCCCAGAUAACCAACCCUAAACCACAAGAUGGCAAAGCAGCCGAUCCACCAGCUGAGAAUUCGUCCGCUCCCGAGGCUGAGCAGGGCCGGGCUGAGUACAAAAUGCCGGCUUAACAUCGCUACCAUCAUCUGGUUUAGUCAUCCAACAAGAAGAAAUGAAUAUGAAAUUCCAGCAAUAAGAAAUGAACAAAAGAUUGGAGCUGAAGACCUUAAGUGCUUGCUUUUUGCCCGUUGACCAGAUAACUAGAACUAUCUGCAUUAUCUAUGCAGCAUGCAGUUUUUAUUAUUUUUACCUAAAGAUGUCUCUUUUUGGUAAUGACAAACAUGUUUUUUAAAAAAGCCUGGUUUUUCUCAAUACACCUGUAAAGGUUUUUAAAUUGUUUCAUAUCUGGUCAAGUUGAGAUUUUUAAGAACUUCAUUUUAAUUUGUAAUAAAAGUUUACAACUUGAUUUUUUUCAAAAAAGUCAACAAACUGCAAGCACCUGUUAAUAAAGGUCUUAAAUAAUAAAAAA
This is an RNA transcript of Ochotona princeps (American pika), 1423 nucleotides long. It is a transcript of the gene named Y-box-binding protein 1-like, with no coding region annotated. NCBI's taxonomy places the organism in Eukaryota, Metazoa, Chordata, Mammalia, Lagomorpha, Ochotonidae. The transcript has a single exon. The record is from RefSeq and is a predicted model, not a curated record.